RNAcentral lists this ribosomal RNA (492 nucleotides) under Filippovia knipovitchi (smooth hooked squid). RNAcentral's name for it is "partial 16S ribosomal RNA". It matches the Rfam family "Bacterial large subunit ribosomal RNA", at positions 1838 to 2594 of the family's 2925-position model. The record is from RNAcentral. Lineage: Eukaryota; Metazoa; Mollusca; Cephalopoda; Oegopsida; Onychoteuthidae.
UUURURURUGAAGAGUUGGGCCUGCUCGGUGAACAAAUUGUUUUACAGCUGCGGUAUUUUACUGUACUAAGGUAGCAUAAUAAUUUGCCUUAUAAUUUGAGGCUAGAAUGAAUGGUUUGACGAAGGUUAAUCUGUCUCUACUUUAUUUUUUAGAAUUUAAUUUUUAUAGUGAAAAAGCUUGAAUUUUUUAAGGGACGAGAAGACCCUAUUGAGCUUAUAAUUUUAUUGCUAGUUCACUAUUUUAUAGUGAAAAGCAUAUAAAUUUUAAUUGGGGUGAUUAAGGAAUAAUGUUAGUUAAUAACUUCCUAUAAUAAAUUUUGUUGGGUAAAGUAACCAAUGUAGUAUUGCUAAUAAUAUAGUUACCAUAGGGAUAACAGUCGUAAUUUGUUUAGAGAGUKCUUAUUGAAAAACAAGAUUGCGACCUCGAUGUUGGAUUAAAGUAACCUUAAGGUGCAGAAGCUUUAUUAGGUAAAUCWGUUCGAUUUNNAAAAC